Long non-coding RNA from Etheostoma spectabile (orangethroat darter), 128 nucleotides. RefSeq lists it as uncharacterized. Lineage: Eukaryota; Metazoa; Chordata; Actinopteri; Perciformes; Percidae. The transcript has 3 exons. The record is from RefSeq and is a predicted model, not a curated record.
AACACCAACGCCAGGAACCUCAAGAUCCAACAGAGGACAGCGGAUCUCUGAUGAGCCUGGUAGUGUUGAACCUGCUUCCACAGAAACCUCAAAGAAGAGGAGUUGGUCAUUGGCAGAAGUCCAAUCUG